Pangasianodon hypophthalmus (striped catfish) is the source of this 319-nucleotide small nucleolar RNA. The record is from RefSeq and is a predicted model, not a curated record. NCBI's taxonomy places the organism in Eukaryota, Metazoa, Chordata, Actinopteri, Siluriformes, Pangasiidae.
GCCCAGUGAUGAUACCAAGGCGAAUGUGAGCUUACUGGAUGCGAGUCUGAGUUCUCCUGUGUUCCUAUUGGCUGGUAAUCUUGACAGGGCAGUGGAGUUUUGCUGCUUUGUUGUAAGGGCCAGCCUACAGUCACCAAGCCCCUUCACUCACACUCUUCUCUAGAGUAAUGCUGGGGAGAGAGUGAAAGGGCAGACAGUGUGUGUGUGUGUGUGUGUGUGUGUGUGUGUGUGUGUGUGUGUGUGUUUGUAGACUCAGAUAGAAUCUCAGCUCUGCUGUAUCCAGUAGCCUAUGAACUGCAUCUUUGGUAAUCUGAGGGUG